UAUUAUAUAAUAUUUUAAAGAAAUAAGGACUGGAGUAGUAAUAGUUAAGGUCUUGAAACUCAAAGAAUUUGGCGGUGUUUUAGUCCUUUCAGAGGAAUCUGUCCUAUAAUUGAUAAUACACGAUUUAUUGUACUUUCUUUUGUUGUUCAAUUUGUAUACCGUCGUCAUAAGAUUAUCUUAUAGAGGGGUAAAAAUUUCUUUAUUGCUUAAUAGUAGUUAUGUCAGAUCAAGGUGCAGUAGAUAGGGAAGAGAGAGAUGGAUUACAAUAAUAAUAAUUAUAUGGAUAUUUAAAUAUAUUAGUUAAAUUGAAGGUGGAUUUGAUUGUAAAUGUAGAUUAAAUUGUUAUGUUGAUUUGGGCUCUAAAAUGUGCACACAUCGCCCGUCGCUCUCUUAUUUAAUAUGAG
This 404-nucleotide ribosomal RNA is filed under the name Amusodes aff. estrellae ICCM-2015. RNAcentral describes it as "partial 12S ribosomal RNA". The record is from RNAcentral. Lineage: Eukaryota; Metazoa; Arthropoda; Insecta; Orthoptera; Phalangopsidae.